AUAUGUGAGGGUGACCUGGCUGCAACACUUGUCACCCCAUUGAUCGCCAGGGUUGACUGGGUUGAUCUGGCUAGUAAGGCGGGUGUCCCCUUCCUCCCUCACCGCUCCAUGUGCGUCCCUCCUGAAGCUGCUCAUUUGGUGAAAGAGGAUGGCCUUCCCCAAACAGAGACAGACCAGUCUUCUGUUGAGGAUAUACAAAUAGUUGCGCUCCCCUGCUAGAACCUCCAAACAAGCUCUCAAAACCAAAAAUUGAACAAAAUAAAUCUACAGUGAUGAAGUAGAGGUAGCUCAUACUGCUCAUUACUACUGAGGUGGUGGUAGUUUUCACUCUCCCCCACU
Unclassified non-coding RNA from Erinaceus europaeus (western European hedgehog), 339 nucleotides. Its record names the gene 7SK. It matches the Rfam family "7SK RNA". Rfam says of the family: 7SK was discovered as an abundant small nuclear RNA in the mid-70s but a possible function has only recently been suggested. Lineage: Eukaryota; Metazoa; Chordata; Mammalia; Eulipotyphla; Erinaceidae. The record is from Ensembl.